Molecule: ribosomal RNA, 218 nt
Filed under: uncultured bacterium
Lineage: Bacteria
Description: partial 16S ribosomal RNA
Rfam family: Bacterial small subunit ribosomal RNA
Source: RNAcentral
AAUCAACGCUGGCGGCGUGCCUAACACAUGCAAGUCGAACGAGAAAGGGACUUCGGUCCUGAGUACAGUGGCGCACGGGUGAGUAACACGUGACUAACCUACCCUUGAGUGGGGAAUAACUUCGAGAAAUCGAGGCUAAUACCGCAUAACACCUACGGGUCAAAGGAGCAAUUCGCUUAAGGAGGGGGUCGCGGCAGAUUAGUUAGUUGGCGGGGUAA